RNAcentral lists this ribosomal RNA (521 nucleotides) under uncultured bacterium. RNAcentral's name for it is "bacterial SSU rRNA". It matches the Rfam family "Bacterial small subunit ribosomal RNA", at positions 29 to 526 of the family's 1533-position model. The record is from RNAcentral.
AUUGAACGCUGGCGGCAGGCCUAACACAUGCAAGUCGAGCGGAAACGAAGGGAGCUUGCUCUCAGGCGUCGAGCGGCGGACGGGUGAGUAAUGCAUGGGAAUCUACCCGAUAGUGGGGGAUAACCUGGGGAAACCCAGGCUAAUACCGCAUACGUCCUACGGGAGAAAGCAGGGGAUCCGUAUUCUUCGGAAUGGGGACCUUGCGCUAUCGGAUGAGCCCAUGUCGGAUUAGCUGGUUGGUGGGGUAAAGGCCCACCAAGGCGACGAUCCGUAGCUGGUCUGAGAGGAUGAUCAGCCACAUCGGGACUGAGACACGGCCCGAACUCCUACGGGAGGCAGCAGUGGGGAAUAUUGGACAAUGGGCGCAAGCCUGAUCCAGCCAUGCCGCGUGUGUGAAGAAGGCCUUCGGGUUGUAAAGCACUUUCAGUGAGGAAGAACGCCUGUGGCCGAAUACGUUGCAGGGAAGACAUCACUCACAGAAGAAGCACCGGCUAACUCCGUGCCAGCAGCCGCAGUAAAAC